RNAcentral lists this ribosomal RNA (478 nucleotides) under uncultured bacterium. Its description in RNAcentral is "partial 16S ribosomal RNA". It matches the Rfam family "Bacterial small subunit ribosomal RNA", at positions 28 to 523 of the family's 1533-position model. The record is from RNAcentral.
GACGAACGCUGGCGGCGUGCUUAACACAUGCAAGUCGAACGGUAAGGCCCUUCGGGGUACACGAGUGGCGAACGGGUGAGUAACACGUGGGUGAUCUGCCCUGCACUUCGGGAUAAGCCUGGGAAACUGGGUCUAAUACCGGAUAGGACCACUGCCUGCAUGGGUGGUGGUGGAAAGCUUUUGCGGUGUGGGAUGGGCCCGCGGCCUAUCAGCUUGUGGGUGGGGUGAUGGCCUACCAAGGCGACGACGGGUAGCCGGCCUGAGAGGGUGACCGGCCACACUGGGACUGAGGUACGGCCCAGACUCCUACGGGAGGCAGCAGUGGGGAAUAUUGCACAAUGGGCGCAAGCCUGAUGCAGCGACGCCGCGUGAGGGAUGACGGCCUUCGGGUUGUAAACCUCUUUCAGCACCGACGAAGCGCAAGUGACGGUAGGUGCAGAAGAAGGACCGGCCAACUACGUGCCAGCAGCCGCCGUAA